This is a long non-coding RNA of Acipenser ruthenus (sterlet), 1344 nucleotides long. RefSeq lists it as uncharacterized. The transcript has 2 exons. The record is from RefSeq and is a predicted model, not a curated record. Lineage: Eukaryota; Metazoa; Chordata; Actinopteri; Acipenseriformes; Acipenseridae.
GGGAAAACGAUUCCCUAUAUAUAUAUAUUGAAUAAACCAAACUAAUAUUUGAAGAAAAGGACUCUGUGCAUUUCUUUUGCAUCUAGGUUGCAUCAAGAAGCAGCUACUCGCGACUACGAAAUCAGCUUCAGAGAGUGUACCAUAUGACUGGACAAGAGAGUGGCCUGGCUAUAGAUUGCUGGAAAAAAUUAAAGAAAGAAACACAGGCGUACAAACUUUCUUACACUGGAUUCUGCAUCAAUGGGCAAUAUGUGGAAACGUUGCAGAAUUAGAACACGUAAUGAGCACUGAUAUCAAGUGCGCCAGAAAAGAAGUGCCAAGUGUCUGGACAGAAGUCACUAAAAGAUUGCUGAUUCUGAUGGUGAUUCAAGUACCGGGACCUGGGCGGAGACAACCAUGGAACUGAAGAUAAACAGUCAACAAACCAUACAUAACUUUACACUCUCAGACAACAGGACCAUUGAAAACUGAUGUUCUACUGAAGAACAAAUGCCUGAUAAUGGGAUAAUAUUGUCACCUACUGUGGACAUUACUGUAGACAAAGUGAAAAUUGAAUUAUUUACUGUAGCAUUGAAUGUUUAAAAUGAAUUAAGGGAAAUUAAUGGUAAUGUUAUUUGUAACAAUAGGUUAGCAAUAAAAGUGUGUUAUACAAUGGAUUACACCAUUGUGGAUAUUGUAUAGAGAAUAUUACAAGAUGUAAUGGAUGUUUGUGUAACUGUUUAAAGAAAAGGAACUGCUGCCUCCCAAAGUGUUACAAAUACAUGAUUAGGGAUGCACGUACUAUUUUAGUAUGGCAAGCCAAAUUAUCAUUUAGAGAUAUCUCAAAUUGCAUUUUAAGAUAUCUUGAAAUAUUUAGAGAUAUCUGUAAAUAAACCCUUUUGAAGAUAUCUUAAUUUCAUUUUGAGAUAUCUAAAAAUUACAUAAAGAUAUCUCAAAUUGCUUUCGAGAUAUCUUUAACCCUUUAUGGACCAGAAUCGUGUUAACACAUCAUACUGAAGUGGGCUUCUAGGACAGCAAUCAUGUAAACACGGUAAAAAACACACUUCUUUUGAUGACUUACAGGGCCACCAUACUUUGCAGAACAGGCUUGAAACAUAUAAUUAGAUAGAGGAGGGAUUCAAUUUCACUUCCUGAUAGUUUUUUUUAUUUCGUGUGACAUCACUGAGAGAGGCAUUUAGUGUCUAAAGGGUGGAGACAGUUUAAGCAGUGCAGAAAGACAGCCUGCUUCACAGAAACUUGUUCAGAGGUAAAAAAAAGACACAGAAAAAUGCUGUAAAUACAAUGUAUUUGUCAUAAUUAUAUUAGAAGUCAUAAUUAUAUUAAAACACACAAAUAUAUAAUAUA